CCUACGGGGGGCAGCAGUGGGGAAUAUUGCACAAUGGGCGCAAGCCUGAUGCAGCCAUGCCGCGUGUGUGAAGAAGGCCUUCAGGUUGUAAAGCACUUUCAGCGGGGAGGAAGGCGUUAAGGUUAAUAACCUUGUCGAUUGACGUUACCCGCAGAAGAAGCACCGGCUAACUCCGUGCCAGCAGCCGCGGUAAUACGGAGGGUGCAAGCGUUAAUCGGAAUUACUGGGCGUAAAGCGCACGCAGGCGGUCUGUCAAGUCGGAUGUGAAAUCCCCGGGCUCAACCUGGGAACUGCAUUCGAAACUGGCAGGCUAGAGUCUUGUAGAGGGGGGUAGAAUUCCAGGUGUAGCGGUGAAAUGCGUAGAGAUCUGGAGGAAUACCGGUGGCGAAGGCGGCCCCCUGGACAAAGACUGACGCUCAGGUGCGAAAGCGUGGGGAGCAAACAGGAUUAGAUACCCGAGUAGUC
RNAcentral lists this ribosomal RNA (465 nucleotides) under uncultured Klebsiella sp. RNAcentral's name for it is "bacterial SSU rRNA". It matches the Rfam family "Bacterial small subunit ribosomal RNA", at positions 338 to 795 of the family's 1533-position model. Lineage: Bacteria; Pseudomonadati; Pseudomonadota; Gammaproteobacteria; Enterobacterales; Enterobacteriaceae. The record is from RNAcentral.